Molecule: long non-coding RNA, 422 nt
Organism: Melitaea cinxia (Glanville fritillary)
Lineage: Eukaryota; Metazoa; Arthropoda; Insecta; Lepidoptera; Nymphalidae
Exons: 2
Source: RefSeq, a predicted model, not a curated record
AAUCAAUAAUUAACAAUAAACGAUUUCAUAUUUCAAAUCCAUCGCGCCUUAUAAACAAGAUGUGAUGUAAGCUGGGCCAAACGUGGACCGUUGCCUUCCGAAUGCGCAGUAGCUAUCCUUGAGUGUCCAUAAGGGCCAUGGAAACUCAUCUUGCAUCAUUAUUAUUAAGGACCUGUUCGGUUUGAUGGGAGGUCGUCGGAGGUACCUCUGUACGUAAUUUUUCCUGACGUUACCUCUACACGACUAAAUUGCAGUUUGCAAGAACAGUAAACCUUAGUUAUAUUUUUCAAACAUAAAAUGUAUUGGCAAAAUAUACACAAUGAACGAUGUCCAGCAAGAAAUGUUAUAAAAUGUUGCCCAGUGUUAUCACGGAGCAUAACGUGUUUUUCUUUAAUAUUUAUUAGAAAUUAUUUGAUGAUUAA